This 351-nucleotide unclassified non-coding RNA is filed under the name soil metagenome. RNAcentral describes it as "partial contains 5.8S ribosomal RNA, internal transcribed spacer 2, and large subunit ribosomal RNA". The stretch from base 1 to 120 matches the Rfam family "5.8S ribosomal RNA", at positions 35 to 154 of the family's 154-position model. The record is from RNAcentral.
GAUGAAGAACGUAGCGAAAUGCGAUAAGUAAUGUGAAUUGCAGAAUUCAGUGAAUCAUCGAAUCUUUGAACGCACAUUGCGACCGCCAGUAUUCUGGCGGGCAUGCCUGUUCGAGCGUCAUUACAACCCUCAGGCCCCCGGGCCUGGCGUUGGGGAUCGGCGGAGCCCCCCGUGGGCACACGCCGUCCCCCAAAUGCAGUGGCGGUCCCGCCGCAGCUUCCAUCGCGUAGUAGCUAACACCUCGCUACUGGAGAGCGGCGCGGCCACGCCGUAAAACACCCAACUCUUCUGAAGUUGACCUCGAAUCAGGUAGGAAUACCCGCUGAACUUAAGCAUAUCAAUAAGCGGAGA